GGAUCCCAUCAGAACUCCGCAGUCAAGCGUGCUUGGGCGAGAGUAUUACUAGGAUGUGUGACCUCCUGGGAAGUCCUCGUGUUGCACCC
RNAcentral lists this ribosomal RNA (89 nucleotides) under Beta vulgaris subsp. maritima. Lineage: Eukaryota; Viridiplantae; Streptophyta; Magnoliopsida; Caryophyllales; Amaranthaceae. The record is from RNAcentral.